This is a non-coding RNA of Drosophila kikkawai, 815 nucleotides long. The record is from RefSeq and is a predicted model, not a curated record. NCBI's taxonomy places the organism in Eukaryota, Metazoa, Arthropoda, Insecta, Diptera, Drosophilidae.
CCAAAGGCCAAAGGUCAGACGUUUCACGCAUUUCAGGUCUCAAUCGCUUUUCAGCAACAGCUUCAACUCCACGCUGUGGAUUUGUGUGUUAAUGGGUCUCAAUCCAAGAUGACUGCGUCUUCGUCUGCGCACUCAUUACGCUCGAUAAAUGCGAACGGCCUCGGAGCGUACUGAUUCCAUUCGAUUCACGGCAAAGAAAGCGUUCCGCCGAAUGCCGAACUCCAUAAAAGGGCCACAAAAACAAACAAACCUGGCAAAUGGAUCUCUUUGAGGUCAGCAAUUGGAGUGUGGCCAAUGGGCAGGCAAGGCUCUUCCUCUCCGGAUUCAAUUAGGUUGUCCAGGUGUCCAGUGUAUCCAAGAAACAAAGCCGCAAUACCCAAUUGACAGAUGUCCGUUCCAAAGUCGAAGUCAGGGUUAAAUUUAAAGUGCAACGCAUCAAACGAAAAGACCAAGACCAAGUCCAGCUGAAAUCCGAAGACCAAGACAUUUUGGGAGUGUCGCCCGAGGGGACUCGCCUCGAAUUCCACCGCGUAGACAAUUCCACAGAAGAAAGAGCCAGCAGAAAGAGGAGAAAUGCUUACAUAAUCUGGACAACUGGCAUUCGUUAUUUAUGCGAAUUAUCGUGCGUGUUGCAUGAUCAAAUGAAUUGAAAAAGAUUUGGCAGGCAGAACAGGAUCGGCAGAGAUGAAGCUGGAGGAGCGAGCAGCUGGCAGGACAGACCUCAACCGGAUGGCAGUAGAGGACGGUGAUCGGAUCGGAUUUUGGCUCCGGGCUAUGUGAAACCCUGCAGCAGGCGUAAAUAAUUAAAAUAUUUA